Oncorhynchus masou masou (cherry salmon) is the source of this 2035-nucleotide long non-coding RNA. RefSeq lists it as uncharacterized. NCBI's taxonomy places the organism in Eukaryota, Metazoa, Chordata, Actinopteri, Salmoniformes, Salmonidae. The transcript has 2 exons. The record is from RefSeq and is a predicted model, not a curated record.
CCAGCCAGAGCUCCCACCUCAGCUGUUGAAUACAUGGAACAGGCCUAUCAAUUCCUCUAAGUUUGUGUUAACGACCGACACGUCCCUAGUGUCCUACGUGCCAAAGAAAUGCAAAAAUGUGGUACUCAUGAGUAUGCUGAAUAGGGAUGACCAGAAAAAACAGAAAUCAUAAUGAAUUACAAUGCCAUAAAAGGAGCGGUGGACAAUUGUUAGAUAAGCUGGUGACUGGCUACAGCUGCAAAAGAAGAACCCUACGCUCGCCACUUGGACAUUUUGGCGUACAACGUGUUUGUCAUCUUGACGAAUCCAUCGUGAAGAGGAUUCAGGAGGAGGAUGCUGCUGCCCCAUCCGCAUGACCCACAGACCCGACAAUUCACACAAAUUGCGGCCGGUAGCAACAAGAAGGGCUGCGAUGUGUGUGGACCCAAGAAGGACAGAAAGACACAGUACACAUGUAUCAAGUGCAAGAAAUGAUUUGCAACACACACACAGUAAAACUCUGUCCCUCAUGUGGUGUAUAGACCGGCCUUAAUUUGUGUUCAAUUGGGCUCAUUUUAUAAUUUCCCUAAAAUACUGUACAGUGGGGCAAAAAAGUAUUUAGUCAGCCACCAAAUGUGCAAGUUCUCCUACUUAAAAAUAUGAGAGAGGCCUGUAAUUUUCAUCAAAGUCAGUGUUGCCCAGCAACAGCCCCAAAACAUCACUGCUCUAGAGGAGAUCUGCAUGGAGGAAUGGGCCAAAAUACCAGCAACAGUGUGUGAAAACCUUGUGAAGACUUACAGAAAACGUUUGACCUCUGUCAUUGCCAACAAAGAGUAUAUAACAAAGUAUUGAGAUAAACUUUUGUUAUUGACCAAAUACUUAUUUUCCACCAACAUUUGCAAAUUAAUUAAUUAAAAAUCCUACAAUGUGAUUUUCUGUAUUUUAUUUCUCAUUUUGUCUGUCAUAGUUGAAGUGUACCUAUGAUGACUAAGUACUUUUUUGCCCCACUGUAUGUAGCAUUUGUUCUUCCAAUUUGUUCAGUUCGAAGCCUCAAACAUCAAUAGUUAUGAAAACCUCAUUUCAUUUAUAUUUGUUCCAGAUAAACAUGAUUUAUUCUACCCAUGUCUUGAUCAUAAAAGAUUUUUGUUGACAAAAUCUUUUAAUUUUUUAAUUUUAUGAAUAUAGCUUUUCUUGAUAAAUGUGAUCUAGCAGAGGUAAAUGGCAAAUAUUAACCAUGUAUGCUGUCUAUAUUGCUUAUAAUUGAUAUAAGUCAACAUUUAAGUAUUAAAUAUUUUAAAGUAAAUUGUUAUUGCUGUAUUGUUUUAAAAACACAAUGAUGUUGUGGGUCCAUCAGACCCGCAAACAUUGGGUGAAUAACAAAAACAUGAACACCACACAAGGGUUAUGUAAUGUGUUGGUUCGGGCUCAUAGCUAGCUAUAGUUCUUAAGCUGUAUUUCCUCCAGCUGUAUUUUCUACCUUGUCCUUGCCUCAUUAUAUGUGUCAAUUGUGGUGACAGGUAGCGUAGUGAUUAGAGUGUUGGGCCAUUAACCAAAAGGUUGCUGGAUCGAAUCCUUGAGCUGAUAAAGUAAAAAUCUGUCGUUCUGCCCCAUAACAAGGCAAUUAACCCACUGUUCCCUGGUAGGCUGUCAUUGUAAAUAAGAAUUUGUUCUUAACUGACUUGCCUAGUUAAAUAAAGGUUUGAAAUAACUAACUUUUUAUUUUCAUUUUAAACAUUCUGUCACAUUCUGACCUAAGUUCCUUUUUUAUGUCUUUGUGUUAGGUUGGUCAGGGCGUGAGUUGGGGUGGGUCAUCCAUGUUCUUUUUUCUAUGUUGUAUUUCUAUGUUUUUGGCCUAGUAUGGUUCUCAAUCAGAGGCAGGUGUCGUUCGUUGUCUCUGAUUGAGAAUCAUACUUAGGUAGCCUGUUUUCCCCAUUUUGGUUGUGGGUGUUUGUUUUCUGUUUAGUGUAUGUCACCUUACAGAACGGGUUCGUUUCUUUCAUUUCACUUUGUUAUUUUGUUUUGUGCGUUCAGUCAAAUAAAGUAUGAUGAACACUUA